RNAcentral lists this transfer RNA (65 nucleotides) under pig gut metagenome. It matches the Rfam family "tRNA", at positions 6 to 65 of the family's 71-position model. From Rfam's summary of the family: Transfer RNA (tRNA) molecules are approximately 80 nucleotides in length. The record is from RNAcentral.
GGUUAGCUCAAUUGGAUAGAGUACCGGUCUUCGGAACCGAGGGUACGGGUUCAAAUCCUGUACGG